UACACUUCCAGUCCCUAUUUCCAUUUCUUCUCUUUUCACUCCAAUCACCUAUUCCCAGUCUCCCUCUCUCUCCCAACCCCUCCUUUCUCAACCCCCACUGCCAGACUCCUCAUCUCCUCCGGCACCACCGCAAGUAGGAGCUAUGAGAAGAAGAAAAAAAGGAGAACUGAUGGAAAAUGCUCAGAUCUCUCUCUCUUUCCCUCUGUUAACCUCAUAUAUGAACUCGUGAUGCCAAAUCCCCAGGAUCUUUCAAACCCAACAGAAAAUUGAGCCAAGAAGUUUCGAUAUUUCUCAACAAAUUAAACACACUAAGAAUCCGUAACAGAUCAAAAUAGAACCCACUCACUUCGGUUCUGCUUCUAGAUUUGGUCAAUUUCUUGCUUUUUGGGUACUAGGUUUCCGGUCUCGGAAGCUUGUAUAUCAGUUCAUGCAUUACAGACCUGCAAGUAUAUAUGUUUUGCCUCUUCUGUGAGAUUAGUGUUUGAAUCGGACGAGUUGGCUCUGUCCCAUGGAUUUGGUGGUAUUAAGGAAUUCAAAUGGACCGGAGAUUUGGUGGUAUUGGUGACAGCAGAUGUAGUGGUAUUGGGAAUUGAAAGGACAAUAAAUUGAGAGACCAAAAAAUAAAUAUGUAACUAUAAAUAAUAUAGGGCCUCAAUGAGGCCUAAAAUUUGUGGCCUCAAAUCCUAGGUGUCAUGCCAUGUAAGCAAAUACAAAUUUUAUUUUCAAAUCCACAUAAUAAAUCUUGUCACGUCAUACUAUUGCAACACCAAUUUUACCCUUUUAUAUUUCCUUCAAGAU
Rosa chinensis is the source of this 798-nucleotide long non-coding RNA. RefSeq lists it as uncharacterized. The record is from RefSeq and is a predicted model, not a curated record. The transcript is spliced from 3 exons. NCBI's taxonomy places the organism in Eukaryota, Viridiplantae, Streptophyta, Magnoliopsida, Rosales, Rosaceae.